GAUGAACGCUGGCGGCGUGCCUAAUACAUGCAAGUCGAACGAGGUGCUUUUGUAGCAAUACGAGAGUAUCCUAGUGGCGAACGGGUGAGUAACGCGUUGGUGACCUACCCCAAAGUGUGGGAUAACAGUCCGAAAGGAUUGCUAAUACCGCAUGUGGUCUUCGGAUUUAGAAACUGAUGACUAAAGGAGCAAUUCGCUUUGGGAGGGACCUGCGUCCCAUCAGCUAGUUGGUGAGGUAAUGGCUCACCAAGGCUACGACGGGUAGGGGACCUGAGAGGGUGACCCCCCCACAAUGGAACUGAAACACGGUCCAUACACCUACGGGUGGCAGCAGUAGGGAAUAUUGCACAAUGGGCGAAAGCCUGAUGCAGCAACGCCGCGUGUGCGAUGAAGGCCUUCGGGUCGUAAAGCACUUUUCUGAGGGAUGAGCAAGGACAGUACCUCAGGAAUAAGUCUCGGCUAACUACGUGCAGCAGCCGCGGUAAU
This 486-nucleotide ribosomal RNA is filed under the name uncultured bacterium. RNAcentral's name for it is "bacterial SSU rRNA". It matches the Rfam family "Bacterial small subunit ribosomal RNA", at positions 28 to 524 of the family's 1533-position model. The record is from RNAcentral.